Molecule: ribosomal RNA, 589 nt
Filed under: uncultured bacterium
Lineage: Bacteria
Description: bacterial SSU rRNA
Rfam family: Bacterial small subunit ribosomal RNA
Source: RNAcentral
CCUACGGGAGGCAGCAGUCGAGAAUAGUCUACAAUGGACGAAAGUCUGAUAGUGCGACGCCGCGUGAACGAAGACUCCCUAACAGGGUGUAAAGUUCUUUUAUAUGUGAGCAAUGGUUUGUACAUUAAUAGUGUGCGAGCAGAGAUAUUAGCAUAUGAAUAAGCAACGGCUAACUCCGUGCCAGCAGCCGCGGUAACACGGGGGUUGCAAGCGUUGUCCGGAAUUACUAGGCGUAAAGGGCAGGUAGGCGGAUCAGUAAGUUUGAUGUUAAAUCCAUCGGCUCACCCGAUGACAGGCAUCAGAUACUGCUGAUCUGGAAUACGGUUGAGGAAGACAGAAUUCCUGGUGUAGCGGUGGAAUGCGCAGAGAUCAGGAGGAAUACCGAAUGCGAAGGCAGUCUUCUGGGCCGUUAUUGGCGCUAAACUGCGAAGGUGUGGGGAUCAAACAGGAUUAGAUACCCUGGUAGUCCACACAGUAAACGAUAAUCACUAGGUGUUGGGUUCGCAGCGAACUCGGUGCCGUAGCUAACGCGUUAAGUGAUUCGCCUGGGGAGUACGAUCGCAAGGUUGAAACUCAAAUGAAUUGACGG